Molecule: ribosomal RNA, 2923 nt
Filed under: Lactiplantibacillus plantarum
Lineage: Bacteria; Bacillati; Bacillota; Bacilli; Lactobacillales; Lactobacillaceae
Description: Lactobacillus plantarum 23S ribosomal RNA
Rfam family: Bacterial large subunit ribosomal RNA
Source: RNAcentral
AGGUUAAGUUAACAAGGGCGCAUGGUGAAUGCCUUGGCACUAGGAGCCGAUGAAGGACGGGACUAACACCGAUAUGCUUCGGGGAGCUGUACGUAAGCUAUGAUCCGGAGAUUUCCGAAUGGGGCAACCCAGCAGUUUUAAUCAACUGUUACCACUAGAUGAAUUCAUAGUCUAGUUGGAGGUAAACGCUGUGAACUGAAACAUCUCAUUAGCAGCAGGAAUAUAAAGAAAUUUCGAUUCCCUAAGUAGCGGCGAGCGAACGGGGAACAGCCCAAACCAAAGUGCUUGCACUUUGGGGUUGUAGGACUGAACAUUUGAGUUACCAAAGAACUUGAUAGUCGAAGGAUUUGGGAAAAUCCGCCAUAGAUGGUGAUAGCCCAGUAGAUUAAAUCAAAUUCUCUCAGUUCAGGAUCCUGAGUACGGCGGAACACGUGAAAUUCCGUCGGAAUCCGGGAGGACCAUCUCCCAAGGCUAAAUACUACCUAGUGACCGAUAGUGAACCAGUACCGUGAGGGAAAGGUGAAAAGCACCCCGGGAGGGGAGUGAAAUAGUUCCUGAAACCAUGUGCCUACAAUAAGUCAGAGCGCGUUAAUGCGUGAUGGCGUGCCUUUUGUAGAAUGAACCGGCGAGUUAUGAUCCCGUGCAAGGUUAAGACUAAAAAGUCGGAGCCGUAGCGAAAGCGAGUCUGAAAUGGGCGUUUUGAGUACGAGGUUAUAGACCCGAAACCAGGUGACCUAUCCAUGUCCAGGUUGAAGGUGCGGUAAAACGCACUGGAGGACCGAACCCGUGUAAGUUGAAAAUUGCUGGGAUGAGGUGUGGAUAGCGGUGAAAUUCCAAACGAACUUGGAGAUAGCUGGUUCUCUCCGAAAUAGCUUUAGGGCUAGCCUCGGAAUUAGGAUCAUGGAGGUAGAGCACUAUUUGGACUAGGGGCCCGUCUUGGGUUACUGAAUUCAGAUAAACUCCGAAUGCCAUUGAUUCAUAUCCGGGAGUCAGACGAUGAGUGAUAAGAUCCACCGUCGAAAGGGGAACAGCCCAGACCAUCAGUUAAGGUCCCUAAAUGUAUGCUAAGUGGAAAAGGAUGUGGAGUUGCAUAGACAACUAGGAUGUUGGCUCAGAAGCAGCCACCAUUUAAAGAGUGCGUAAUAGCUCACUAGUCGAGUGAUCCUGCGCCGAAAAUGUACCGGGGCUAAGCAUACUACCGAAACCAUGGAUGCGACCAUUAGGUCGCGUGAUAGGAGAGCGUUCUAAGGGCGGUGAAGCAAGAUCGUGAGGACUUGUGGAGCGCUUAGAAGUGAGAAUGCCGGUAUGAGUAGCGAAAGAUAGGUGAGAAUCCUAUCCACCGAAUGACUAAGGUUUCCUGGGGAAGGCUCGUCCUCCCAGGGUUAGUCGGGACCUAAGUCGAGGCCGAGAGGCGUAGACGAUGGAUAACAGGUUGAGAUUCCUGUACUAGUUAAGUGCGUUUGAGCAAUGGAGGGACGCAGGAGGCUAAGAUGUGCAUUCUGUUGGAUUAGAAUGUCCAAGCAGUAAGUCUUGUGAAGAGUCAAAUGCUUUUCACUUUAAGGACAAGCUGUGAUGGGGAGCGAAAUUUAGUAGCGAAGCGUCUGAUGUCACACUGCCGAGAAAAGCUUCUAGUGAGUACUUAACUACCCGUACCGCAAACCGACACAGGUAGUCGAGGAGAGAAUCCUAAGGUGAGCGAGUGAACUCUCGUUAAGGAACUCGGCAAAAUGACCCCGUAACUUCGGGAGAAGGGGUGCUGAUCGCAAGAUCAGCCGCAGUGAAUAGGCCCAGGCGACUGUUUAUCAAAAACACAGGUCUCUGCAAAAUCGUAAGAUGACGUAUAGGGGCUGACGCCUGCCCGGUGCUGGAAGGUUAAAAGGAUGGGUUAGCUUCGGCGAAGCUCAGAAUUGAAGCCCCAGUAAACGGCGGCCGUAACUAUAACGGUCCUAAGGUAGCGAAAUUCCUUGUCGGGUAAGUUCCGACCCGCACGAAAGGCGUAACGAUCUGGGCACUGUCUCAACGAGAGACUCGGUGAAAUUAUAUUGUCCGUGAAGAUGCGGACUACCCGCGACAGGACGGAAAGACCCCAUGGAGCUUUACUGUAGCUUGAUAUUGAGUGUUUGUACAGCUUGUACAGGAUAGGUAGGAGCCAUAGAAACCGGAACGCUAGUUUCGGUGGAGGCGAUGGUGGGAUACUACCCUCGCUGUAUGACCACUCUAACCCGCACCACUAAUCGUGGUGGGAGACAGUGUCAGGUGGGCAGUUUGACUGGGGCGGUCGCCUCCUAAAAAGUAACGGAGGCGCCCAAAGGUUCCCUCAGAAUGGUUGGAAAUCAUUCGCAGAGUGUAAAGGCACAAGGGAGCUUGACUGCGAGACAGACAGGUCGAGCAGGGACGAAAGUCGGGCUUAGUGAUCCGGUGGUACCGUAUGGAAGGGCCAUCGCUCAACGGAUAAAAGCUACCCUGGGGAUAACAGGCUUAUCUCCCCCAAGAGUCCACAUCGACGGGGAGGUUUGGCACCUCGAUGUCGGCUCAUCGCAUCCUGGGGCUGUAGUCGGUCCCAAGGGUUGGGCUGUUCGCCCAUUAAAGCGGUACGCGAGCUGGGUUCAGAACGUCGUGAGACAGUUCGGUCCCUAUCCGUCGCGGGCGUAGGAAAUUUGAGAGGACCUGUCCUUAGUACGAGAGGACCGGGAUGGACAUACCUCUGGUGUACCAGUUGUGCCGCCAGGCGCAUCGCUGGGUAGCUACGUAUGGAUGUGAUAAACGCUGAAAGCAUCUAAGUGUGAAACACACCUCGAGAUGAGAUUUCCCAUUCCUUUAUGGAAGUAAGACCCCUGAAAGAUGAUCAGGUAGAUAGGUUAGAAGUGGCAGUGCGGUGACGCAUGAAGCGGACUAAUACUAAUCGGUCGAGGACUUAACCAAG